UUCAAUCCACCCAUUUCUUAUCUUGUCUGUAGCUUACAAUGUUUGGUCAGGGACUGGGACAGAACAAAAGCAUCAAGGGGUGAGCAAAAAGACAUACAGCCUGCAUGGCCAGUGGAGUAAUGCUUCCAGCACCAGUAAGGUCUCAAACCAAGUGGGAUGUUCACUGUAAAGAAACGUGUCUUCUCUGCACCAACUGCAGAAAGUCCAUAGGACUGCAGCUUGAAUGCCCAGGGACCCACAGAAAUGAGAGCUGGAAGGAGCUGGGAUUCUCAGCCUAGAAAAAGUCUGAGAAAGAAACACAGCAGCAGUUCUGCAUACAGUGCAUUUGAAUCAUCUUUCAAGCAUCUAAUCAAGCAUGAAUUACCUUACUGCAGGUACAAGCAGUGGAGAAAUUAUGUGGUAGUAGUAUCUGCUCCUGAAGCCCGUAAGUGGAGGAAGCCAGUUUAAGGAGAUCACCAGAGCUGUCAGGCACACAAAAGUCAGUAAAUCCAAAGAGCUGCCUGGGGAAGGAAAGGAAGGAUGUCCAAAACCAAUCACAGAAAUCUUCAGCUUGUUGGUGUGCACUCUCUGUCUCACUCUUUAGGAAUGGCUGUUCCCCAUCCCUGAUGCCUUCAUCUGAUGAGUCAGAUGAGGCUGAUGCUAACCACCUUUCAAGAGGGCAAGCCAUUAGGCUGAGAUGGAGGUAGUCUCAGGAAAUUGAAAACUUCUGCCCUGCUAUGUAGUAUGAAAAACUCAGGGUCAUUUUUUUCCCCUAAUUUUUUGUUAGAUUAAAACUAUUCCACACAAAACUUGGUUAUUCUGGAGUUUAGGGUUGGAAAUCAAACUAGAAGUCUAGCUAGGGAGUUUUGCCAGACUUUGUGUAUUUCCUUCUUUAUACAUUCUGGACUUUAUUUCAGUUAAAUGUUUGUAAGAUCAAACUUCCGUGCUAUCUGUAAAUCAAAAUGCUAUUUGUGGCCUCAAGUUUGGAAAGCCAUUUAACUGGUUCUGUGACUAAAUCACUGUCAUCUCCAUCUUGAUUUAAUCUCUUUCAUAAUGGCAUUAAGAACUGCAGUACAGAGAGGCAGAUCUUAAGUCUGCUGCAUGAAAUGUGCUACUUGUACAGACAUGCUGAGUUUUUGCCAGUUAAAAACAUGCUUCACCACCCCUCUGAUUUUUUUAUGUCUUCUGCACUCUAAUUACAUGAGCUAGUAAACUUACAUGUGUACAUAUCUCUAGGUUUACAUGGUAAGUGACCAAUGGAGAACAUAGAUUGAUCGUCCUCAGUGUGUAAUCAGCUUAAUAGUGAAUUUAGAAAGUGCAUUCAACAUCAAAGAUGUAGGGCCACUUAGACCCUACAUGCACGGUCAUUAUAGUUUAGGAGGAAAACAUUCUAAUGUGUUUGAUCAGUAAUGAGAGGUAAUUGCUAAAUAUGAAUUAGUAAAGUUACCUUAGAAUAAGUUUUCUGAGGACAUCAAAAAUAGAGCAAACAAAGGGUGUGUCUAGGGGUUUGUUAAAGCAUUCAUGUCACCUAGUUAAUGUUUGGGUGUCUUUUGAGAAGUUUUAGUUCUGCCUUUCCUCAGCAAUGUAUUUUAUUAUCAAAUUCUUGUGAAAGUAGGAAAUUGUAUAUAUUAAAGCACAGGAAAUCAAGGGAGGAAGGCGGUGUUACACAACUCUAAAUAAAAGGUAAAUUAACAUGUUCAGCCACGUAAUUACAAGGGGAAGAGGACCUUGCUCUUUAAGCAGCAAAAGCAUAAUGAAACACUUGUAGCUUUAUUUCUUAUGUGUAGCUCAGUUAUACCCCUUAGUGUGGAUGCUUGACAGCUGUUUACUUUCUUGAUUAAAGUCUGACUAUAGGGGUGAGCUGGGCUUUUUUCAUCCUCACUAGAAAGAAAGGCAACAUCUUUUGAAUAGACUACAUGAAUAUGCAGAAUAUGUCAGGGCGUUUGUAUUGCUGAGCACAUGUUGCAGGAUGAGAGUAUGGGAGAGACUGAGAAUAAAAGACUAGAAAAAAUAAAGAUAAAAGGGAAAAUAAGGGCAAAAGGAAAAAAAAAUAGAGAAUAUUAUCUGGAAAAGUUAGGAGAGAAGUGUGAAAUAAAGCAUAGAAGCAGAAAUAAUUGCUUCCCACAAAAAGUAUCACAGAGUCACAUAAUUCCCAGGCUGGAAGGGACACCUAGGGGUGUCUCCCACACGAGCAGGGUCACCCCAAGCUGUGUGUCCAGGAGUGCCCAGCCAACAGAGAAAAGCAACCCUUUUUUCAUGGCUGGGAUUUUGUACCAACUGCUCAGUGAUCCCAUCACUACACACAAGAAGAAAAUAAGGGGCAGAUUUUUUUUGGUCCAGCUCUUAUUGCAGUCAUGAUUGCUAUGUGUAGCUGAAGGAAAGGGACGCAAAUAAAUGGGCUAGGUAAAUGAAGGACCAGCAAUGUAAAAGUAUGUUUUCUUGGUGUUUUUUGUUUGUUUGUUU
Oxyura jamaicensis (ruddy duck) is the source of this 2442-nucleotide long non-coding RNA. RefSeq lists it as uncharacterized. The transcript is spliced from 4 exons. NCBI's taxonomy places the organism in Eukaryota, Metazoa, Chordata, Aves, Anseriformes, Anatidae. The record is from RefSeq and is a predicted model, not a curated record.